Molecule: ribosomal RNA, 465 nt
Filed under: uncultured bacterium
Lineage: Bacteria
Description: bacterial SSU rRNA
Rfam family: Bacterial small subunit ribosomal RNA
Source: RNAcentral
CCUACGGGCUGCAGCAGUGGGGAAUAUUGGACAAUGGGGGCAACCCUGAUCCAGCAAUGCCGCGUGUGUGAAGAAGGCCUGAGGGUUGUAAAGCACUUUCAGUGGGGAGGAGGAUUGAUAGGUUAAGAGCUAAUUGAUUGGACGUUACCCACAGAAGAAGCACCGGCUAACUCCGUGCCAGCAGCCGCGGUAAUACGGAGGGUGCGAGCGUUAAUCGGAAUUACUGGGCGUAAAGGGUGCGUAGGUGGUUAUAUAAGUUAUCUGUGAAAUCCCUGGGCUCAACCUGGGCAGGUCAGAUAAUACUGUAUGACUCGAGUAUGGGAGAGGGUAGUGGAAUUUCCGGUGUAGCGGUGAAAUGCGUAGAGAUCGGAAGGAACACCAGUGGCGAAGGCGGCUACCUGGCCUAAUACUGACACUGAGGCACGAAAGCGUGGGGAGCAAACAGGAUUAGAUACCCCAGUAGUC